Molecule: ribosomal RNA, 765 nt
Filed under: uncultured Streptococcus sp.
Lineage: Bacteria; Bacillati; Bacillota; Bacilli; Lactobacillales; Streptococcaceae
Description: bacterial SSU rRNA
Rfam family: Bacterial small subunit ribosomal RNA
Source: RNAcentral
GACGAACGCUGGCGGCGUGCCUAAUACAUGCAAGUAGAACGCUGAGGUUUGGUGUUUACACUAGACUGAUGAGUUGCGAACGGGUGAGUAACGCGUAGGUAACCUGCCUCAUAGCGGGGGAUAACUAUUGGAAACGAUAGCUAAUACCGCAUAAGAGUAAUUAACACAUGUUAGUUAUUUAAAAGGAGCAAUUGCUUCACUGUGAGAUGGACCUGCGUUGUAUUAGCUAGUUGGUGAGGUAAAGGCUCACCAAGGCGACGAUACAUAGCCGACCUGAGAGGGUGAUCGGCCACACUGAGACUGAGACACGGCCCAGACUCCUACGGGAGGCAGCAGUAGGGAAUCUUCGGCAAUGGACGGAAGUCUGACCGAGCAACGCCGCGUGAGUGAAGAAGGUUUUCGGAUCGUAAAGCUCUGUUGUUAGAGAAGAACGUUGGUAGGAGUGGAAAAUCUACCAAGUGACGGUAACUAACCAGAAAGGGACGGCUAACUACGUGCCAGCAGCCGCGGUAAUACGUAGGUCCCGAGCGUUGUCCGGAUUUAUUGGGCGUAAAGCGAGCGCAGGCGGUUCUUUAAGUCUGAAGUUAAAGGCAGUGGCUUAACCAUUGUACGCUUUGGAAACUGGAGGACUUGAGUGCAGAAGGGGAGAGUGGAAUUCCAUGUGUAGCGGUGAAAUGCGUAGAUAUAUGGAGGAACACCGGUGGCGAAAGCGGCUCUCUGGUCUGUAACUGACGCUGAGGCUCGAAAGCGUGGGGAGCAAACAGG